GACCACGUAGCUCAGUUGGCAGAGCAUUGGACUAGUAUCCCAAAGGUCGCGGGUUCGAUUCCCACCGUGGUCA
This is a non-coding RNA of Paramuricea clavata, 73 nucleotides long. The record is from the annotation of a GenBank genome assembly. Lineage: Eukaryota; Metazoa; Cnidaria; Anthozoa; Malacalcyonacea; Plexauridae.